UGGGGAAUAUUGGACAAUGGGCGAAAGCCUGAUCCAGCCAUGCCGCGUGUGUGAAGAAGGUCUUCGGAUUGUAAAGCACUUUAAGUUGGGAGGAAGGGCAUUAACCUAAUACGUUAGUGUUUUGACGUUACCGACAGAAUAAGCACCGGCUAACUCUGUGCCAGCAGCCGCGGUAAUACAGAGGGUGCAAGCGUUAAUCGGAAUUACUGGGCGUAAAGCGCGCGUAGGUGGUUCGUUAAGUUGGAUGUGAAAUCCCCGGGCUCAACCUGGGAACUGCAUUCAAAACUGACUGACUAGAGUAUGGUAGAGGGUGGUGGAAUUUCCUGUGUAGCGGUGAAAUGCGUAGAUAUAGGAAGGAACACCAGUGGCGAAGGCGACCACCUGGACUAAUACUGACACUGAGGUGCGAAAGCGUGGGGAGCAAACA
RNAcentral lists this ribosomal RNA (427 nucleotides) under uncultured bacterium. RNAcentral's name for it is "partial 16S ribosomal RNA". It matches the Rfam family "Bacterial small subunit ribosomal RNA", at positions 355 to 774 of the family's 1533-position model. The record is from RNAcentral.